CACGUAGGGCGCGAGCGUUGUCCGGAAUUAUUGGGCGUAAAGGGUGCGUAGGCGGUUUGGUAAGUCUGAUGUGAAAUCUAUGGGCUCAACUCAUAGUCUGCAUCGGAAACUGCCGGGCUUGAGUGUGGGAGAGGUGAGUGGAAUUCCUGGUGUAGCGGUGAAAUGCGUAGAUAUCAGGAGGAACACCAAUGGCGAAGGCAGCACUCUGGGACGUGACUGACGCUGAGACGCGAAAGCGUGGGGAGCAAACAGG
RNAcentral lists this ribosomal RNA (253 nucleotides) under uncultured bacterium. Its description in RNAcentral is "partial 16S ribosomal RNA". It matches the Rfam family "Bacterial small subunit ribosomal RNA", at positions 524 to 776 of the family's 1533-position model. The record is from RNAcentral.